This 254-nucleotide ribosomal RNA is filed under the name uncultured prokaryote. RNAcentral's name for it is "partial 16S ribosomal RNA". It matches the Rfam family "Bacterial small subunit ribosomal RNA", at positions 524 to 777 of the family's 1533-position model. The record is from RNAcentral.
UACGGAGGAUGCGAGCGUUAUCCGGAUUUAUUGGGUUUAAAGGGUGCGUAGGCGGCCUUGUAAGUCAGCGGUGAAAUUUUGCAGCUUAACUGUAACAGUGCCGUUGAUACUGGGGAGCUAGGAUUUGGUUGCUGUGGGUGGAAUGUGUGGUGUAGCGGUGAAAUGCUUAGAGAUCACACAGAAUAUCGAUUGCGAAGGCAGCUCACAAAGCCAAGAUUGACGCUGAGGCACGAAAGUGUGGGGAUCAAACAGGA